RNAcentral lists this long non-coding RNA (853 nucleotides) under Mus musculus (house mouse). Its description in RNAcentral is "lincRNA-EC294". Lineage: Eukaryota; Metazoa; Chordata; Mammalia; Rodentia; Muridae. The record is from RNAcentral.
AAACAUUGAACGACUAUCCAGGUAACCAGAAGCCUUUGCCAUUUCUACAGUUUUGGAAGCUAUUUGUUCUGCACUUCCUGUUUAUUCAGGAAGGAUUUGGGCGGCUACCUCCUACUUGCCCAAAUCCCCAGCUGUCACUCAUAGCUGCUGGUUCUGGCCCUGGAACCUUGGAGACACUGGCAUCAUGGCAAUUAAAUCCAUAAGGGCAACUGCCACAAUAAUAAUAAUGAUGACAGCUAGCACUUACUAAACACUCACUAUGUGCAAGGCGUUCUCUGGGCUUUCCAUGCAAUAAUAGUCCGACUAAUCCUCCCAGCAGCCUCUGAAAUCUAUGUUACUAUUUUUUUCCAAUUAAAAAAAUAAAUAUCUGCAUCCGGGUGUGGUGGCUUGCACCUGUAGUCCUGGCUAUGCUGGAGACCAAAACAGAUGGAUAACCAGAGCUCAGAAACUGGAAACCAGUCUGGAAAAACUAGCAGUGGAGACUCCUCCAACUCCAAACAAGAACAACAAAAAUGGUUUAAGUAUCGAUUUUAUUCAGAGUUAGCUGGUAGUUUCUUUCCUCUUUGUUGAUAGCACAGAACUCUUGUUUCUCUUCAUUCACAUUGUUUUAUCUUCAUUCCAUACCACCUUUAUCAUUGUGUAUCUUUCGCAACUACCCUUAUUAGUGUAUCUCUCGAAGUAUUGUUUUUAUUAGCCUUAACUACUUAUCUUCAUCACUGUGUAUGUUUUCCUACUAUUUUUUUUCUUUAAUUAAGAUGUGGGCUUGGCAUGUAGCUUAGUUGGUAGAAUGUUUGCCUGUCAUCCUGCUGGGAACAAGCAAAAUAAACGUAUUCUUAGGACUACUUACUACUUC